This 440-nucleotide ribosomal RNA is filed under the name Weissella confusa. RNAcentral describes it as "bacterial SSU rRNA". It matches the Rfam family "Bacterial small subunit ribosomal RNA", at positions 338 to 795 of the family's 1533-position model. Lineage: Bacteria; Bacillati; Bacillota; Bacilli; Lactobacillales; Lactobacillaceae. The record is from RNAcentral.
CCUACGGGGGGCUGCAGUGGGGAAUAUUGGACAAUGGGGGCAACCCUGAUCCAGCCAUGCCGCGUGAGUGAUGAAGGCCUUCGGGUUGUAAAGCUCUUUCGGCAGGGAAGAUAAUGACGGUACCUGAAGAAGAAGCCCCGGCUAACUUCGUGCCAGCAGCCGCGGUAAUACGAAGGGGGCUAGCGUUGUUCGGAAUUACUGGGCGUAAAGCGCACGUAGGCGGAUUUAUAAGUCAGGGGUGAAAUCCCGGGGCUCAACCUUGGAACUGCCUUUGAUACUGUAAGUCUCGAGUCCGGAAGAGGUGAGUGGAAUUCCUAGUGUAGAGGUGAAAUUCGUAGAUAUUAGGAAGAACACCAGUGGCGAAGGCGGCUCACUGGUCCGGUACUGACGCUGAGGUGCGAAAGCGUGGGGAGCAAACAGGAUUAGAUACCCUAGUAGUC